Molecule: ribosomal RNA, 576 nt
Filed under: uncultured bacterium
Lineage: Bacteria
Description: partial 16S ribosomal RNA
Rfam family: Bacterial small subunit ribosomal RNA
Source: RNAcentral
UGGGGAAUUUUGGACAAUGGGCGAAAGCCUGAUCCAGCAAUGCCGCGUGUGUGAAGAAGGCCUUCGGGUUGUAAAGCACUUUUGUCCGGAAAGAAAUCCUUGGCUCUAAUACAGUCAGGGGAUGACGGUACCGGAAGAAUAAGCACCGGCUAACUACGUGCCAGCAGCCGCGGUAAUACGUAGGGUGCAAGCGUUAAUCGGAAUUACUGGGCGUAAAGCGUGCGCAGGCGGUUUGCUAAGACCGAUGUGAAAUCCCCGGGCUCAACCUGGGAACUGCAUUGGUGACUGGCAGGCUAGAGUAUGGCAGAGGGGGUAGAAUUCCACGUNUAGCAGUGAAAUGCGUAGAGAUGUGGAGGAAUACCGAUGGCGAAGGCAGCCCCCUGGGCCAAUACUGACGCUCAUGCACGAAAGCGUGGGGAGCAAACAGGAUUAGAUACCCUGGUAGUCCACGCCCUAAACGAUGUCAACUAGUUGUUGGGGAUUCAUUUCCUUAGUAACGUAGCUAACGCGUGAAGUUGACCGCCUGGGGAGUACGGUCGCAAGAUUAAAACUUAAAUGAAUUGACGGGGUCAUAGC